UUUUUUCCUUCCUUUUUUUUCUUCUCAUCCUCCAUUCUUUCCCAUGCGCUUUCUCUCCUCGCUCUGUUCCAUUCUCCUCGGCACUUCGUCGAACAUCUCGCCGUUGCCGGAGAGAGCCGCGCGUCUUCUCUGCCGCGGGAGCUUUCGCGUUUCACUGGUUUCCUGGUGGCGAGAGGGGGAGCGGUGUUCGGUUGAUGGAGUGAUCUGGUGGAGGAGGG
This 218-nucleotide long non-coding RNA is filed under the name Phoenix dactylifera (date palm). RNAcentral's name for it is "long non-coding RNA (PDAC_LNC006809)". Lineage: Eukaryota; Viridiplantae; Streptophyta; Magnoliopsida; Arecales; Arecaceae. The record is from RNAcentral.